RNA transcript from Entelurus aequoreus (snake pipefish), 4789 nucleotides. It is a transcript of the gene named zinc finger protein 239-like, with no coding region annotated. The record is from RefSeq and is a predicted model, not a curated record. Lineage: Eukaryota; Metazoa; Chordata; Actinopteri; Syngnathiformes; Syngnathidae. The transcript has 4 exons.
UCUUCUUCCGGCUCUCCACACUGCGUGUACACAAAACAGAACAAGAAAAAGCAAGAUGGCGUUCAAUGGAUACGCCGUUGUUUUGUGUUCUUAAUCAGUGCGUGCAUGGAAAAAUGUAUGCUGUUUAAUAAAUUAAACGUCAUAAAUGGCUGUUUGUGUCCGGAUACACUAGUCUGGGCGCACUGAGCUGCUUCUCCUGCUAGCUUAGCUUGUUAGCCGCUAACAAAGAGACGCGGAAGUUAUCAACACAUCGCUAAGCAGAAAUCAAGUGUGAGUGUAAAGUGUUGUGAUUGUGUGAAAAUGUGCGAAAGAACGAUAGCAGAGUACGAGGAGGAACUUUGUCCAACAAAAGAGGAGAAGGAGCGACAAUAUCAACUACUGGACGCUGUUUUCAAGAAACAUCAAGUUGUGUUACACAGAACAGAAGUCCAGCAGCCCCCCUAUAUUAAAGAGGAAGCUCUGUACCCCCCUUGUGUAAAAGAGGAGGAGCCAAAGCCACACAUUAAAGAGGAAGAGGAGGAAGUGUGGAUCCGUCAGGAGGGAGAGUGUCUUCUAGGGCAGGAGGAGGCUGAUCUCACCAAGUUUCCACUGACUGUUGUCUCUGUGAAGACUGAAGACCAUGAAGACAAACCACCCGAGUCCUCACAGCUUUAUCACAGUCCAAUGGAGGCUGCAAAGAAGAACGUUGUAGGUGGGAUCGGUGUAUGCGGCUGGCUGUAGCAACACAACAAGGAGGACUUUGACUUGGAUAGCAGACGCGCUAGCGGCGAACUCACCUUGACUUCCUCCGUCUCCGGGCCGCCGACCGCAUCGUCAAACGCUGGAACGCAGACGUCUGUGAAGAACAUCUUCUCCCUGAGCAGCAGGAGGGGACCUUCAAGAGGGAGCAGGAGGAGCCACAACCCCACCAUAUUAAAGAGGGACAGGCGGAGCCACAGCACUCCCAUAUUAAGGUGGAAAUAGACAAACACAGCAUCAGUCAGUUUCCAGUGAUUGGUGUGAUUGUUAAGAGUGAAGUGGGUGAGGUCAAAGGUGAAAGUGAGGAGAAGAGAGAGGUGGAGCCUCUCAGCAGCAGCUCAACUCAACACAUGACAACAGAAGCUGAUGGAGACCACUGUGGAGGAUCACAAGCAGGCAAGCUCUUAGCUCCACUAUCAGAUAGUGACGACACAACGUCACACUCUCCUGACACUGAUGAUGAAGACUCUAAAGCUGAGAAGACAUGUCACACUGACAACACACACUUUACAUGCCCUUACUGUGACAAAACUUUUAAUCACCGUUUUAGUUUGAAAAGACACACACGACGACACACUGGAGAAAAACUUUUUUCCUGUUCCAUCUGUGCUAAAGGUUUUAUACAGAAUACUGAUUUGGAAAAACACAUGAGAAUACACACUGGAGAAAAACCAUUCAUGUGUUCUAUUUGUAGUAAAAGAUUCUCCCAGAAAGCAAAUUUGAUAAUACACAAAAGAAUACACACUGGAGAAAAACCUUUUAUAUGCUCAGUCUGUGGUAAAUGUUUCAUACAAAAUAAAGAUUUGAAAGUACACAUGAGAAUACACACAGGUGAGAAAGUGUUGAGUUGCAGUGUGUGUGAUGAAAGAUUCUCUUAUAAGUACCAGUGUAAGAAACACAAGUGUGCUGGUGAGAACAGCAGCAGCAAAUGAAGUCAAAAAUGUGAUAACUUUGACUCUCUAACAACAUCAUGUGUGACAUCGUUGUUGUGUGUGUAACAAUCUUGUUACAACGCUUAUAUAAUUUUUGGAAUAUAGCUUUUAUUUCAGGAAAGCGCAUGCAUUAAUAUACAACAUUGUGUACAUUUAUUUUAAAAUAUGUAUUUUCUCUCACUGAAAAUGUGUACAAUAUCAGCUUUUCUGACUGCCCUAAUAUUAACUUGUUUUAAAUUCAUUUUAUAAUAUAGAGUACAAAACUUAUGUUACAUAAAAUAAACAGUGGAUGUGUAUACAGAAUAGAUAGGCAUGAAUACGUUUUAUACUUAUCCAUAACAGUGUUUUUAUAUGAGUUUGUGAAGUAAUGAAGUUUUAAACAUUUUAAUUUAUUAUUGUAAAUGAUUCCAUAGAUGAACACCUUCAUAUAAUAUACAUAUUUGUUCAUACCUUUGCUUUUGAGUACACAUAAAUCUCCCAUAUUAUUAUUUACUUUAUACAUCAUUUGAGCUGUUGUUUUAUACAAGAUCAUUUACUUUUAAUAUGUGUGACUUUAUGAAUAAUUUGUUGGGUCUUGAUAAUCCAAUCUGUUGAUUAUUUUUAUUACUUUAUUUUGUAAUGUGAAUAUUGUUUUGUAAUUGUUUUAUAUUUAUGUUCCCAGACCUUUUAUCCAAUAAGCAAUGUAUGCUUUAACUAAAGUUGGGUACAAUAAAUGUAAUUAUUAUUUAUGUAUUUUGUUAUAUUUAUUAUUUAUUAACCCUGUGAACGAUAAGAAUGGCAACAGCAUUACAACUGAAUGUCAACAAGCUGCACGAUGGGUGUAACACAUUUGUGACGUUCUUAACAGACCAGAGCCAGAAGGCCGAGCUAAAAUGAAAACACCAGAUGCUGCCCUGGACAUUUCCUUACUGGGUGGGUCAGAGGUAGAGACAGUGAUCAAAGCCCUGAAAAAUGGGAAGGCCAGUGGAAAUGUCAGCAUCCAUGCAGAAAUGCUAAACCUUUUCUACUCCACCUGGACCUUAGAGACAAUCCCUGAAGACUGGACUAUGGCUGUCAUUGUAAAGCUUCCCCAAAAAAAGAAAUCCUCAACAUCUGUGACAGCGGUCAAAGCAUCACUUUACUAUCCGUACCAUCCAAAGUGUUGUGUCAAAUCCUCCUGAAGAAAAUUGACUUACCUUUCAACACCAAGCUGAGAUAAUAACGAGCUAGCUUCAAGGCGGGAAGAGUGGGAAUAGACCAGAUUUUUGCCCCGAGCAAUAUGAUCAAGCAAAGCUUAAAAUAAAACUGUUCAGUUUACUCAACUUGAUCAAACUCAAGAAAGCCUUUGACAGUCUGGAUUGGGACACUCUAUGGAAGAUCGGGAGGUCCUAUGGGUUCCCCUUAAAGUGGAAACCUUGAUAGAGUUGUUCUACCAAGACCUCAAAUGCAGUGUCAUCGUAGACGAAAACCCAUUCGAGUCAGAGCCGUGUAUGGAGAAAGUAUGGACAACUCGGUUUCGGAGUUGGUCCCAAACGUGACCAAUAAUUUCAAGAGAUUGUCUGGCCAUAUUCUCUCUGAUUGUUCAAAAGCCCUUCACGUGACUCCAGGGCACUAUGUUUGUGACCAACUUUGAAUCAGAGUUGUCCAUACUGUCCCUAUUCACGGCUCUGACUCGAGUGGUUUUCUGUGAUGUCUGGUGUGAGAUGGGGUUGCAUCAUCUCACCCAUGCUUUUCCUUCUCUCCAUUGACUAUAAUUAUGGACAACACAACAGCAGACAAACCAAAAGGCAUCCAAUGGACUAUAUUGUCUCAGAUCAAGACUUUCUGAUGAUAUAGCUGUUUUGAAAUCCAACCAAAAACGAAUGCAGAAGACAAGGACGUUAAUUAGCUUUGCUAAGACAGGCUCGAACAUCAACACGGCCAAGACACAGACCAUGUUAAUUAACAACAAAUGCGCCUCCCAUCAACGUUGAUUCCAAACCACUUGAAACAGUAAAGGACUUUACCUACCUUGGUAGCAUUGUGCGCUCAGGAAAAAAAAGUGCUUUUGCUGAAAGCUACUUCGCCCAAUCUGAAAGUCUAUGCAAUACAGUUUGCGAACAAGUUUUUAAUUUACAACAGCAAUAUGAAGUCGGUCCCAAUGUAUGGCUUGGACUGUUAAUGGUUUAUCGAGAGCGAAACUAAGAUCUAGGCCUUGUUCCACAUUCUGUGCCUGAGAAGGAUCUGCUGUAUAUUUUGGCCCGACAUCAUCUCAAAUAAGGAGUUCUACAAAAAGUCCAGUUGCAGCAUUUUAGUAAACAAGAUCAGAUACUGACGCAGAGGAUGGCUCAGGCACGAGCUCCGCACGGACCGGCAGCCGAUACUCAAGAAUGCCGACUGGAAGGCGGAAACCGGGUAGGCUGGCGAACACCUGGAAGAAAACCAUUGCCUAACAACUUAAAGAACCAGGUCUCUGUUUAGACUGAGCUUUCAACCGGAAGUCGAAGUGCAGUUCUGUCCUCUAGUCGUCUAUAUAGAGGGCCUCAGAUUUUUGGCUAAAGUAUCCCACAAUGCAUUGCCAGAAGCCAUAUUGAAAGGCUAGCGUCAUCGUUCACAAUAGCGCUACACGUAAUAUUUCCGAAUUAUUCGUCGUUAUAAGGAGCAAACAGCCGUAAUUGGAUGCAAUGAUCCGUACAAGAUGGACAAGUCUGAGUGGAGUAAAGACCAUGACAUUUACCAUGAUGUCUCAUACCUGGACUUUGUAAACUAUUUAAUUUUUCAACCCAGUCCAUUUUACAUCUUGAAGGACUUUCAAAAUGAUAAAAGUUCAGAAAGCUAUGACCGCUUUGAGGCAUUUGUGUUUAUCUGUAUAAACCCAGUGCAUAUUGUGCCGUCAAGACUAGAGUCGUGGAUUCUCGUCACACUGAACAAAAUUCCAAACAAACCGUUUGGAAGAAGUACGAUGGAAGGCAAGAUUGUUUUAUAAAUAUCUCUGCAAUGCCUCCAUGGUUUGAUUUCAAAUGUUCAGGACUUGCACAGAUCCCAAAUACGCAUAAGCAGGUACCAUCCGGUUAGAAAAAGUGGUUUUGUAUAAUAGGGCCCCUUUAACAAGAUUGUGUCAUGAACACAGCAAUGAUGUUACACAUGCCAUGGUGCUAACA